This 274-nucleotide ribosomal RNA is filed under the name uncultured bacterium. RNAcentral describes it as "partial 16S ribosomal RNA". It matches the Rfam family "Archaeal small subunit ribosomal RNA", at positions 473 to 747 of the family's 1478-position model. The record is from RNAcentral.
AUACCAGCCCCGCGAGUGGUCGGGACGGUUAUUGGGCCUAAAGCGCCCGUAGCCGGCCCGGUAAGUUCCCGCCGAAAUCCCCGGGCUCAACCCGGGGGCCUGCGGGAAUACUGCCGGGCUAGGGGGCGGGAGAGGCCGGGGGUACUCCCGGGGUAGGGGCGAAAUCCUAUAAUCCCGGGAGGACCACCAGUGGCGAAGGCGCCCGGCUGGAACGCGCCCGACGGUGAGGGGCGAAAGCCGGGGGAGCGAACCGGAUUAGAUACCCUAGUAGUCC